This is a long non-coding RNA of Canis lupus familiaris (dog), 658 nucleotides long. RefSeq lists it as uncharacterized. The transcript is spliced from 4 exons. The record is from RefSeq and is a predicted model, not a curated record. Lineage: Eukaryota; Metazoa; Chordata; Mammalia; Carnivora; Canidae.
AGGCAGACCGAGGGUUUGACUCAGAUGCUGACUCCAGGACUGAUAAACUUCUCAUCCUCACAUAGUCUCUGCCUGUGGCUCUGACUUCAUGGCAGUAUCAGCAGGUUGGGAGGAAAAAGCCAAGAAGGCCUAUGGAGUUUUGAGAAGGAACAGGACACAGGGGACGUCCUAGGCAGCAGGGCAUCCUCAGGAGAAGCCAAGGAUACUUCUCAGUUUUUAAAGGAAAGAAAAAGUUUUUCACUUAAGCCUGUGAAGAACUGCAUGCUCUAGAAGUCUACACAAAAGGAAACAGGAAAAGGGAUGAAGAAUCCUGAAACCCAGGAGUAGCCCUGUUUGUACCCGAAUAUAGGUGCCUAGAGUGAAGGUCAGCAUGGUGAGAGAAACACAUUACCCACCCAAGAGUUUCUGUUCUCCUGACUUCCAUGCUUCUCUUUAGUGUUUUACCAAAAAAAUGUUAUAUCCAGUUUCCUUCUCCAAGAAAAUGACUGAACUUUAUCAUCCCAGAUACACUGACCAGCCUGGAGGAAUGGGAGCACAAGAAGGUGACAUUCUGGAGAGCCAGGGGUCAGAAGAACAGUCACAAGAAAUAAGAAAGUUGAGGCCAACAGAGCUACACAGCUGCAUGCUAACAAAGCUGCAAUCCUAAUCCAUGCUUGCC